Gossypium hirsutum (cotton) is the source of this 107-nucleotide non-coding RNA. The record is from Rfam. Lineage: Eukaryota; Viridiplantae; Streptophyta; Magnoliopsida; Malvales; Malvaceae.
AACCCAUGGUGAGGGCAUCUUCGCAAAAGGUCCUUAUAUCUCUCCCAUCCAUCGUAGAGCGCCUCUAAAUCUAUCUGCUAAAAAGAAGAGAUAUCAUAUCAUAAUUU